Molecule: ribosomal RNA, 253 nt
Filed under: uncultured bacterium
Lineage: Bacteria
Description: partial 16S ribosomal RNA
Rfam family: Bacterial small subunit ribosomal RNA
Source: RNAcentral
UACGGAGGGUGCAAGCGUUAUCCGGAUUCACUGGGUUUAAAGGGUGCGUAGGCGGCGCAGUAAGUUGGGUGUGAAAUCCCUCGGCUUAACCGAGGAAUUGCGCCCAAAACUACUGUGCUCGAGGGAGAUAGAGGUGAGCGGAACUUAGGGUGGAGCGGUGAAAUGCGUUGAUAUCCUAAGGAACACCGGUGGCGAAAGCGGCUCACUGGAUCUCUUCUGACGCUGAGGCACGAAAGCUAGGGUAGCAAACGGG